Small nuclear RNA from Homo sapiens (human), 107 nucleotides. Lineage: Eukaryota; Metazoa; Chordata; Mammalia; Primates; Hominidae. The record is from Ensembl.
GUGCUCCCUUUGGCAGCACAUAUACUAAAAUUGGAGCGAUACAGAGAAAAUUAGCAUGGCCUCUGAGCAAGAAUGACACACAAAUUCAUGAAGUGUUCCAUAUAUAA